This 490-nucleotide ribosomal RNA is filed under the name uncultured bacterium. RNAcentral's name for it is "partial 16S ribosomal RNA". It matches the Rfam family "Bacterial small subunit ribosomal RNA", at positions 30 to 507 of the family's 1533-position model. The record is from RNAcentral.
AUUGAACGCUGGCGGCAGGCCUAACACAUGCAAGUCGAACGGGAACAGGAAGCAGCUUGCUGCUUUGCUGACGAGUGGCGGACGGGUGAGUAAUGUCUGGGAAACUGCCUGAUGGAGGGGGAGAACUACUGGAAACGGUGGCUAAUACCGCAUAACGUCGCAAGACCAAAGAGGGGGACCUUCGGGCCUCUUGCCAUCGGAUGUGCCCAGAUGGGAUUAGCUAGUAGGUGGGGUAACGGCUCACCUAGGCGACGAUCCCUAGCUGGUCUGAGAGGAUGACCAGCCACACUGGCACUGAGAAACGGUCCAGACUCCUACGGGAGGCCGCAGUGGGGAAUAUUGCGCAAUGGGCGAAAGCCUGAUGCAGCCAUGCCGCGUGUAUGAAGAAGGCCUUCGGGUUGUAAAGUACUUUCAGCGGGGAGGAAGGGAGUAAAGUUAAUACCUUUGCUCAUUGACGUUACCCGCAGAAGAAGCACCGGCUAACUCCGUG